CCGGCCAAAUCGCGUGAAGGAAGACGGUAUUAUGUAUUGUAAACUUCUUUUAUAAGGGAAUAAAGUGCCUCAUGUAUGGGGUUUUGUAAGUACCUUAGGAAUAAGCAUCGGCUAACUCCGUGCCAGCAGCCGCGGUAAUACGGAGGAUGCGAGCGUUAUCCGGAUUUAUUGGGUUUAAAGGGUGCGUAGGCUGGCUAAUAAGUCAGCGGUGAAAACUUGUCGCUUAACGAUAAGCCUGCCGUUGAAACUGUUAGUCUUGAGAGUGAACGAGGUAGGCGGAAUUAGUGGUGUAGCGGUGAAAUGCAUAGAUAUCACUAGGAACCCCGAUAGCGCAGGCAGCUUACCAGGCCACGACUGACGCUGAAGCACGAAAGUGUGGUUAUCAAACAGGAUUAGAUACCCUGGUAGUCCACACAGUAAACGAUGAUUACUAGCUGUUUGCGAUAUACAGUAAGCGGCUGAGCGAAAGCAUUAAGUAAUCCACCUGGGGAGUACGCCGGCAACGGUGAAACUCAAAGGAAUUGACGGGGGCCCGCACAAGCGGAGGAACAUGUGGUUUAAUUCGAUGAUACGCGAGGAACCUUACCCGGGCUCGAACGGCUGAUGCAUAUAGGAGAGAUUUUAUAGUCGCAAGACAUCAGUCGAGGUGCUGCAUGGUUGUCGUCAGCUCGUGCCGUGAGGUGUCGGCUUAAGUGCCAUAACGAGCGCAACCCUUACCGUUAGUUACCAUCAGGUCAAGCUGGGGACUCUAACGGGACUGCCACCGUAAGGUGUGAGGAAGGUGGGGAUGACGUCAAAUCAGCACGGCCCUUACGUCCGGGGCUACACACGUGUUACAAUGGGUGGUACAAAGGGCAGCUACUUAGUGAUAAGAUGCUAAUCUCUAAAACCACUCCCAGUUCGGAUUGGAGUCUGCAACCCGACUCCAUGAAGCUGGAUUCGCUAGUAAUCGCGCAUCAGCCAUGGCGCGGUGAAUACGUUCCCGGGCCUUGUACACACCGCCCGUCAAGCCAUGAAAGCCGGGGGUACCUAAAGUACGUAACCGCAAGGAUCGUCCUAGGGUAAAACUGGUAAUUGGGGCUAAGUCGUAACAAGGUAGCCGUACCGGAAGGUGCGGCUGGAACACCUCCUU
RNAcentral lists this ribosomal RNA (1132 nucleotides) under Bacteroidia bacterium. Its description in RNAcentral is "bacterial SSU rRNA". It matches the Rfam family "Bacterial small subunit ribosomal RNA", at positions 388 to 1532 of the family's 1533-position model. The record is from RNAcentral. Lineage: Bacteria; Pseudomonadati; Bacteroidota; Bacteroidia.